UACUUUGUUGCUCCACUGUGCGAUGACUGAAGUUUGCACAAGCUUUUUAUUAUUUAAAACAAUUGCCAGCAUAGGUGCUUAAUAUAUAAAAUCACACAGUUACAAGUCAACACAGAUGGAACUGUUGAAAAAGAGUGCUAAAACUACGCAUGGACACGCAAAAUGCCCAAGGAUAACGAGGCAAGGGAGAAUAAUCCGUGUCAAUAACAAUGGCUUCGUACACAAUAGCAUCCCCUUAAUAACGCGUGUGUGUCGCAAAACAAGGACGAAGAUGUAAACAUAUCUGUCAACUUGACUGCAACAGAUUCUUUUCCUGCUACCAAAUUGAAAUCUAAACACAAAGUUUUGGGGAACAAGCCUUGCCUGCACUUUGUCGCUCGAUGGUGUAUCACCGGUCUGAAGCGUAAUGAAAUGUUAAGCCAAAAGUCUGAAACAAAGACGAAAUCAAAAAGCCUACUUGGCGGCUGCCUUCGUUCCUCCACAUUAGUUCCUUUACUCGGCAAGGAACCAAAUCCACUGAUUCCCCUUUCCGUAUUCACACCUGUACAGCUAGGACCAACGCCGUUUCCGCGGCUGCCUCCCGAAUCUUUCUACUCAGUAUUUUUUCAUACCCCAGAGAUUCGGUGAACCUUGCUCACUUCUGCACGUUAUUUUUCUGUCGUCUGCCUCCUUCCUUUUUCUUUUCUCCUCCAAACGUCAAAUCAAAUCCAAAAUUGCGUCAGAUUAUGACGUUAGAUUUUGACGCAGCAACCCCCUCCUCCCCUCGCUCACGCACGGGUAAGGGCGAUAAUGCCUGCCUAACAACAGACAGGGGCAACAACCCCCUGUUCCCAACAUUCAUGCAAGCAUGAACGUGCCUUAAAUGUGUGGAUAGUGUUUGUGAUUGUGCAGGGGGAAAAUGGUUGUACAUAGGGGAGUAUGUAGUGUUGCAUGCAAUUGCUGGUGACAGAGAACUUAUUGAUACCCACCAUCAUUACAACAUGUUCCUCAUUUAUCUUACCUUAUCUAUCCAUUAAUUUAUUGCUGAGAAACUACUAAAAUUUCAAGUCAGAAGUGAUUGGCAGCAACAGUCAUUGCCAAAGAAUAGGGUAGGUGACAUGAGCUCAAUAUGCAGUUAGUCAUCUGCACUUUAUGCUCAGCCAUUGAGCAAGUGGUACGGACAAAUGAAGCUAAAAACAUGUCAACUGCUGAAAACUGUAGAGUGUAAAGAACUUUCUG
This is a long non-coding RNA of Pomacea canaliculata, 1218 nucleotides long. RefSeq lists it as uncharacterized. NCBI's taxonomy places the organism in Eukaryota, Metazoa, Mollusca, Gastropoda, Architaenioglossa, Ampullariidae. The transcript has 3 exons. The record is from RefSeq and is a predicted model, not a curated record.